GAUGAACGCUAGCGGCAGGCCUAAUACAUGCAAGUCGAACGAGAUUAAGGGGCUUGCUCCUUAUGAAAGUGGCGCACGGGUGCGUAACGCGUAUGCAACCUACCUCAAUCAGGGGGAUAGCCCGAAGAAAUUCGGAUUAAUACCGCAUAACAACACAGUACAGCAUUGUACAAUGUUCAAAUAUUUAUAGGAUUGAGAUG
RNAcentral lists this ribosomal RNA (200 nucleotides) under uncultured bacterium. Its description in RNAcentral is "partial 16S ribosomal RNA". It matches the Rfam family "Bacterial small subunit ribosomal RNA", at positions 28 to 227 of the family's 1533-position model. The record is from RNAcentral.